AAGUCAGAAGAGGAGCUGGACUUCUAUAGCUAAUCAACGACUAAUUUCUACCUUCAGCAAAAUGUCUACCAAAGUCAAGUAAUAGGGCCUGAUCUGAAGCCGCAAUGAGUCUUCAGAUGUCAAAUAUGCCCUGAAUGCUGUGAAUGCAGAAGAUGAAAUAAUUAAUAUCAACUGGGAGAGCCAAGGAGCAAUGGGGAGUUGUGAAAAUAUUUUGUCAUAUAAAUAACAUGAAAAUUCUAAACAAGACAGUGAUGCUAACGAUUAAUUGUCAGAGUCUUUUUAAGAUAAGAGUAUCAGUUUGGGAAUAUAAAGAAGUGUGUUGUUGUCAUAAAAGUGGUGACUAAGAAAGUAAAUUCCGUUACUGAAGAAUGCCCACCAAGAAUAAAGAAUUGGAUGCAAAGCAGUAAGAGUUCAUUUGUUUUUGUAAUUCUGUUAUUAUUAACCUAUUAUUUUUUCUUCUGAGCCCAAGCUUGAUACUGUAUCUGAAGCACUGGGAUGGUUUAGUAAUUUAAAAUGUAAAACUUAAUAGAAUAAUACUUUGCUGCAACCUUUAAUUAUAUUUUUACAUUGAGACUUGGUCGAUAUUUGUGUUUAUUUUCUUAACUUCAAACAUAAUUGACAAUCUUCACAAAUGUCACCUUUCUAAAGAAAGGGUCAACAUUUAGCAGUGCAUUACUAGAUUUUUCACACAUAUUCAUUAUUUUGUGGUCUUUAAGUAUUUAAUGUUGAAUAAGAAAUUCAAGCUUUACUUCUACAUGCCCACAUGUCGGAUAGUUAAUAAAUAUGUUUUUCAUUUGAAUUCAUUAAAUUUGUCUGAAGUUUCAGAAACUACUAAUACU
This 839-nucleotide long non-coding RNA is filed under the name Homo sapiens (human). Its description in RNAcentral is "HSALNT0090650". The record is from RNAcentral. Lineage: Eukaryota; Metazoa; Chordata; Mammalia; Primates; Hominidae.